AUACGGAGGGUACGAACGUUAAUCGGAAUUACUGGGCGUAAAGCGCGCGUAGGUGGUUCGGUAAGUGGGAUGUGAAAGCCCCGGGCUCAACCCGGGAACUGCAUUCCAAACUGCCGGGCUAGAGUAUGGUAGAGGGAGGUAGAAUUUCCUGUGUAGCGGUGAAAUGCGUAGAUAUAGGAAGGAAUACCGGUGGCGAAGGCGGCCUCCUGGACCAAUACUGACACUGAGGUGCGAAAGCGUGGGGAGCAAACAGGAUUAGAAACCCGGGUAGUCC
This 274-nucleotide ribosomal RNA is filed under the name uncultured bacterium. Its description in RNAcentral is "partial 16S ribosomal RNA". It matches the Rfam family "Bacterial small subunit ribosomal RNA", at positions 523 to 796 of the family's 1533-position model. The record is from RNAcentral.